Oryctolagus cuniculus (rabbit) is the source of this 2903-nucleotide non-coding RNA. Lineage: Eukaryota; Metazoa; Chordata; Mammalia; Lagomorpha; Leporidae. The record is from RefSeq and is a predicted model, not a curated record.
AUUAUGACGUAUAAAUGGGUUUAGACCGUAGGGUGGACAGCCAGGCCCAGUGGGCUCUGCACACAUUUCCUCGCCUUCGCCCUGGCCUGUCUCAUGGAAGGCUGGGUCAUUUUAUAGAAAUGAUCUCCCCGAAUGGGAGCAGUGGGAAAAUGAGGGUACACUGACCGGUAACUGGACGUUUGGAAUGGAAAGUCCAGGAAACAGCCAUAGAAAGACUAACCAGUGUGCCGUUAGGGUGCAAGUCUCUUGGCUCUCCUCACCAGCCGUCCACACCCCCAGCCUGCCCCAAGACUUCCCGCGCUCGCAAAGGAUUGUGGGCCAGCCCCCCACCGCCGCUGGGGAAAACGCUCGGCGUCCGGGCGCGUCACCCACCCGCCGACACCUUCCCACGAGUCGGGCCUGGCGUUUGGGGGUUUCUGAGACCGUUAGAGCUUCACGGCCUGCCUAGUUCAAGAAGAUAGCUGGAAAAAAGAUAUACAACUGCCAUUGUCUGUUAUAUGACAGAGUUGACCUGUUGACCAGGAGUGUUGUAUCACAGAUGAUGAUAGCAUUUGAAGACCUGGCUGUGAUGUGAUGUGAUGCUGGAGACCUACAGCAGCCUGCUCUCCUUGGAUGCCUUGGAAAGGAAUGAUCUGAGUAAGAUCUACCAAAAAAGUCAGGACAAAAAUCUGAAUCAGGAUGUUAUGAAAAAUAAUAAAACAUCAACUCCCAAGAUGAUUAAAUUAAGGAAAAACUUAAUUUUAGUUCAAGCCAUAUUCCAACACUGAAUAUCAAAAAAAGAAACUAUUCAGGAAUUAAACCUGAAGAAUGCAAUAUAUGUCACAAUGUGUAUCCCAUUGUGGGCCUGAUCAACUACAAGCUGGAGUGAAAUUUGAUGCUACCAAGAUACCUGGGAAUGGUCUCCAAUUCUGUGAGCCUCUUAACCAACAGCACAAAAUUCAAACCGUGGAGCAGGUACUUGAACAAAUUGGACAAGGGAAAAUUUUCAAAAGGAAGAAUAUAUUUUGUGAAUCUGAGAAGCUUUUUAUUGUAGAAACUUAUAAUAAGUCAACUGCCACUAUUGGCAAGACAACUCAAGUAGUACAAGAUUUCCAUAAAAAUUCUAACCUCAGUAAGCAUCAACAAAGUCCUGGAAGAGAGAAAGUUUAUAAAUACAUCAAGCCUGUGGAAUCUGUCAUUUACCAAUCACAUGUUAGAAUGAAUCAUAGAUCAAAUAUAGGGAAGAAAUCCUAUUCCUGUAAAACUUGUGGGAAAUCAUUCAGUAAUAAAUUCUGCCAUAUCCUCCAUCACAGCACUCACGUAGUGGAAAACCCUCAUGUGUGUAUUGAAUGUGUAGAAAUCACUUACCAGAAGUCAGAUUUCAUUAGACAUCAGAGAAUUCACACAGGGUUGAAAUCUUAUAAAUGUAAUGACUGUGAGAAAGUCUUUGGCCAGAAGUCAAACCUCAUAAAUCAUCAGAGAAUACACGGGCGAGAAACCUUAUGAAUUUAAUGACUGUGGAAAAUCCUUUGGCCAGAAGUCAAACCUCAUAUAUCAUCAGAGAAUUCACAAAGGGGAGAAACCUUAUGAAUGUAAUCAUUGUGGAAACGCCUUUUGCCAUAAGUCAAACCUCACAAAGCAUCAGAGAAGUCACACAGGGGAGAAACGCAAUGACUGUGGAAAAGCCUUUGGCCAGAAGUCAAACCUCAUAACUCAUCAGAGAAUUCACACAGGGCAGAAAGAUUAUGAAGGUAAUGACUGUGGCAAAGUCUUUAUGCAUAAGUCACAUCUUAUUCUACAUCAGAGAAUUCACACAGUAAAAACCUUAUGAAUGUAAUGACCGUGGAAAAACCUUUCUGUUGAAAAAUUAUCUUGUCAAACAUCAGAGAAUUCACACAGUAGAUAAAACCUAUGAAUACAAUGACUGUGGAAAAAAAUUAUGUGGAAGAAAGAUCUUAUCAGACAUCAGAAAAUUCACACAGGGGAGAAACCUUAUGAAUGUAGUGACUGUGCAAAAGCCUUUCUGCAUAAGUCACAUCUCAUUCAACAUCAGAGAAUUCAGACAGGGGAAAAACCUUAUGAAUGCAAUAACUAUGAAAAAGCCUUUGGCCAAAAGUCAACCCUCAUAAAUCAUCAGGGAACCCACACGGUGGAGAAAUCUUAUGAAUGUAAUGACUGUGGAAAAGCCUUUUUGCGCAAAUCAGAACUCAUCAGACAUCAGAGAAGUCACACAAAGGAGAAAUCCUAUGAAAGCAAUGACUGUGCAAAAGGGUUUGGUCACAAAUCAAGCCUCAUAAGUCAGAGAAUUCACACAGGGCAGAAAGUUUAUGAGUGUAAUGAGUGUGGAAAAGUCUUUUGGAGGCAGUCAGAUCUCAUCCCACAUCAGAAAAUUCACCCAGGAGAAAACCUUAUGAAUGUAAAAACUGUGGAAAAGCCUUUGGCAAGAAGUCAAACAUCAUAAUUCAUCAGAGAAUUAGCUCAGAGGAAUAACCGUAUGAAUGCAAUGACUGUGGAAAAGUCUUUGGCCAAAAUUCAAGCCUCAACUCCUCACAGAAUUCCCACAGGGGAGAAACCUUCUGAAUACAACGACUGUGAAAAAUGUUUUGAAUAUAAGCUACACAUCAUUAGAUAACAACAUCAUGAAUGUAAUGAUGGUGGAAAGCCUGUUGCUAUAAUUCACAACUAAUAAAACAUCAGAGAAUUCACACCAGGAAUUUUCCACAACAUUGCCUUUUUGUGCAAGUUACAUCUCACCAAACAUUAAGUGUGGAUAUGCCUCUGGUACCAAUCAUACCUCAUCAAACAUAAAAGAAUUAACAUGCAAGAAAUCUUUUGAAUGUAAUGACUCAGAAAGACUUUUACCAUAAUUCAGUCCUCAUUGCACAUCUUCAAAUUCAUAUAGGGAAUAAACCCUUUGAAAGUAA